GUGCCGUUAGCUCAGUGGUAGCAGCAUAAAGAUUUCUUUAUAAGGUCGUCGGUUCGAUUCCGACACGGCGCA
RNAcentral lists this transfer RNA (72 nucleotides) under Caudoviricetes sp. RNAcentral's name for it is "tRNA-OTHER". It matches the Rfam family "tRNA". Rfam says of the family: Transfer RNA (tRNA) molecules are approximately 80 nucleotides in length. Lineage: Duplodnaviria; Heunggongvirae; Uroviricota; Caudoviricetes. The record is from RNAcentral.